Molecule: non-coding RNA, 26 nt
Filed under: Rattus norvegicus (Norway rat)
Lineage: Eukaryota; Metazoa; Chordata; Mammalia; Rodentia; Muridae
Source: RNAcentral
UCCUUACCUAGUUGGCCAUUUCUUGC